GGAAAGACUACACUUCUAAGUCUGCUCGUUGGAGGGUGAGAGGGUCGACACCAGGAGGUUCAAUUACUUAUAAUGACCAGCCAUAUUCGAAGUUCCUAAAGAGCAGGAUAGGAUUCGUGACUCAAGACGACGUGCUCUUUCCUCACCUUACAGUGAGGGAAACAUUAACAUAUGCAG
This is a non-coding RNA of Camellia sinensis, 177 nucleotides long. Lineage: Eukaryota; Viridiplantae; Streptophyta; Magnoliopsida; Ericales; Theaceae. The record is from RefSeq and is a predicted model, not a curated record.